This is a non-coding RNA of Paramuricea clavata, 1214 nucleotides long. The record is from the annotation of a GenBank genome assembly. Lineage: Eukaryota; Metazoa; Cnidaria; Anthozoa; Malacalcyonacea; Plexauridae.
CCCUUGUUUUCAUUUGUAGUCUUCUCCUGCAAGCUGGAGCGGAUCCCAAUUCUCAAGAUGUCGACGAGUGGACUCCCCUUCACGCGGCUGCGCACUGGGGGCAGAAAGAAGCUUGCAAGUUAUUGGCUGAUUAUGGCGCUGACUUUACACUUAGGAAUCAUGUGGUACGUCAAUGAGCUUCUUGUUAUAUUUGUCACCCUCCUGUAGUAAUACUGGAGCAAUAGAGAUGAUCCUUACUGGACCUCUAGGAAGAACAGUUUAGAACUGAUAGAGCUAUCCAGUAUAAAUAAAGUUUAGUUCAGGUUUCCUCUUGUAGUAAUACUGGAUCAAUAAGAGAUGAUCCUUACUGGACCUCUAGGAAGAACAGUUUAGAACUGAUAGAGCUAUCCAGUAUAAAUAAAAUUAGUUUAGUUUAGGUUUCCUCCUGUAGUAACACUAGAUCAAUAAGAGAUGAUCCUGUUUAGAACUGAUAGAGCUAUCCAGCAUAAAUAAAGUUAUUUAGUUUAGGUUUCCUCCUGUAGUAACACUGGAUCAAUAAGUGAUGACUCUUACUGGACCUCUAGGAAGAACAGCUUAGAACUGAUAGAGCUAUCCAUGAAUAAAGUAUGAAUAAAGUAUGAAUAAAGUUAGUUUAGUUUAGGUUUCUUCCUGUAGUAACACUGGAUCAAUCAAUAGAGAUGACUCUUACUGGACCUCUAGGAAGAACAGUUUAGAACUGAUAGAGCUAUCCAUUAUAAAUAAAGUUAGUUUAGUUUAGGUUUCCUCCUGCAAUAAGUAAUAACACUGGAUCAAUAAGAGAUGAUCCUUACUGGACCUCUAGAGAGAAAAGUCAGUAAAUGCAUUUGCCAAAACACGAAAAAGUUUGCCCCCAAGAAAUCUGCUCAAAUUUUGAUUGAGGAACUUUGAAGAAACGUCUACCAAAUUCACGCUGAUCUCAUAUUAGACUGCAGAAACCUGAACUAUAUUAGUCUGUAUUUCAAAACCUCAACUGUGUCUGUGUUAGUAAGUGUACAUACUUCUAUCCUGCGUAAGACGAUGUCAUUGAAAUACCAGAAAAGUCUUGACAUGAGUCGUUUAUAUUUUUACAUUGAAAUCUCUUUUUCCGUUUUAUUAGGGUCUGACUCCCAUCGAUAUAGCUGAACCUGACAUAGAAAAAUAUUUAGAAGAAUUAAAGAAAAAACAAAUGGAGAAACCGAAAAUAAACGUAUGUAAAU